AAUGCCGUUCUGAUGGGAAAACCUGACCUGAGUCAUCUCAUGACGUGCAUUUCCUUUUGUCUCCCUUUACUACCUGCUGCCUCCUGGAUUCGGCAAAAAUUGCAGCUUCCAAACCACUCUGGAGCUGAGGACUGGCUGCAUCAGGAUUCUCUUCCCUUCCAUUGAGCUACCCUCCUUCCAGAGGCAGAGCAGGCUAACCUGAGUGGAAGAAUCAGUCUGUGUAAUGAGGAUAUAAGUUGGGUCUGCAGUGUCUAAAGCCAGGCACACAGGAACUGAAAGCAGGGCCCUUGGUGCCAGCAUCACUACCUCAUCUUUUGAUCCAGACACAGGAUGGAAGUCUCAGGGAAGAGUGUUCCUUUUAACCAAAACAUUAUUUUCAUUUUAAAUUCUGUCUCUAUGUCUAUGUCUCUGUCUCUGUCUCUCUCUCGCUUACAGAUCCUCUGCAAUUCAAUCUUAACACCAAGCCUACUGUCCAGCCUAGGAGAAAAUGUUCUGAGAGACAGAGCUGCUGGGUGCUAGGGCAGGUGUUUGAAGGAUUCUUUGCUGUACUGUGGGUACCUGUCUCAGGGGUGAGUAGUGUCAGAAAGAGCAUGAGUUUCUUUCUUUUGGAUUAUGAUGACUAUAUAGAUGCAGGCAAAAUAUUCAUGAACUAAGGAAAAAUGUGAAGGAAAAUUU
Molecule: long non-coding RNA, 675 nt
Filed under: Mus musculus (house mouse)
Lineage: Eukaryota; Metazoa; Chordata; Mammalia; Rodentia; Muridae
Description: long non-coding RNA chr18:26015773-26016448
Source: RNAcentral